RNAcentral lists this microRNA precursor (79 nucleotides) under Felis catus (domestic cat). RNAcentral's name for it is "mir-2483 microRNA precursor family". It matches the Rfam family "mir-2483 microRNA precursor family". Lineage: Eukaryota; Metazoa; Chordata; Mammalia; Carnivora; Felidae. RNAcentral also lists the same sequence under 6 other names. The record is from Rfam by way of RNAcentral.
AAGUGAAAAGUUCAUCAACCAUCCAGCUGUUUGGGGUAAUACAGACAAACAUCAGGUUUGUUGAGAGAAUUUCUUACUU